ACGUUAGCGGCGGACGGGUGAGUAACACGUGGGUGACCUACCUAUAGGACUGGGAUAACUCCGGGAAACCGGGGCUAAUACCGGAUAACACAUGAAACCGCAUGGUUUCAUGAUGAAAGACGGUUUUGCUGUCACUUAUAGAUGGACCCGCGGCGUAUUAGCUAGUUGGUAAGGUAACGGCUUACCAAGGCAACGAUACGUAGCCGACCUGAGAGGGUGAUCGGCCACACUGGAACUGAGACACGGUCCAGACUCCUACGGGAGGCAGCAGGA
This 273-nucleotide ribosomal RNA is filed under the name uncultured Staphylococcus sp. RNAcentral describes it as "partial 16S ribosomal RNA". It matches the Rfam family "Bacterial small subunit ribosomal RNA", at positions 89 to 354 of the family's 1533-position model. The record is from RNAcentral. Lineage: Bacteria; Bacillati; Bacillota; Bacilli; Caryophanales; Staphylococcaceae.